UGGCUUAAGGACAGGUCACCAGAAUGCCAACACUGAGAUGUAGUGCUCUCUGAAGUACAUCACUCUGCUUCUGCUCCAUCAAGACACUUACAACCAUGAUGAAAGUGGAUCCUAAAAACAACACAUGGCAUGCUAAAGCCAAAGUACAAAUCAGGGAUGAUGGCCUGGAAGACAUCAGUUUAGAUGAGCAAAGUUAUGUUUUGACUUGUAAACAUUUGAAUGACAGUUGCAUCUUAAUAACAUGCAAUAACCAAAAUGGACUGUCUGUCCAGAACCUGCAGCUGAGCGAUGCUGCACCGAUCCUCAUACAGACAUUUUCUGCCACUUCCCAGAAGGCAGUUGAUGUGGGAUCCACUGGUGUCAGCGAGAACAGCAAGAGCAAGGAGAAGGCAGAAGCUUACCCCACCAAGAAAGAAUGAGCCUACCUGGUUCCCAUCUGGGAAACUUGCCCUCCUGCAACAUUCAGUACAAAGAACAUGCUCUUCAUUGUCACCUAAAGAAGACACAAGGACUAAACUUGC
Long non-coding RNA from Cygnus olor (mute swan), 521 nucleotides. RefSeq lists it as uncharacterized. The record is from RefSeq and is a predicted model, not a curated record. The transcript has 2 exons. NCBI's taxonomy places the organism in Eukaryota, Metazoa, Chordata, Aves, Anseriformes, Anatidae.